RNAcentral lists this ribosomal RNA (117 nucleotides) under Bacillota bacterium. The record is from RNAcentral. Lineage: Bacteria; Bacillati; Bacillota.
UCCGGUGGUAAGAGCGGAGAGGACCCACCCGUUCCCAUUCCGAACACGGAAGUUAAGCUCUCCAGCGCCGAUGGUACUUGGCGGGCGACUGCCCGGGAGAGUAGGCCACUGCCGGAA